Pongo abelii (Sumatran orangutan) is the source of this 148-nucleotide unclassified non-coding RNA. It matches the Rfam family "Metazoan signal recognition particle RNA". Rfam says of the family: The signal recognition particle (SRP) is a universally conserved ribonucleoprotein. It is involved in the co-translational targeting of proteins to membranes. The record is from Ensembl. Lineage: Eukaryota; Metazoa; Chordata; Mammalia; Primates; Hominidae.
GCCGGGUGUGGUGGCAUGUACCUGUAGUCCCAGCUACUCGGGAGGCUGAGAUGGGAGGGUCACUUGAGCCCAGGAGGUCAAGGCUGCAGUGAGCUAUGACUGCACCACUGCACCCCAGCCUGGGUGACACAGUGAGACCCUGUCUCAU